Long non-coding RNA from Wasmannia auropunctata (little fire ant), 793 nucleotides. RefSeq lists it as uncharacterized. The transcript has 4 exons. NCBI's taxonomy places the organism in Eukaryota, Metazoa, Arthropoda, Insecta, Hymenoptera, Formicidae. The record is from RefSeq and is a predicted model, not a curated record.
AAAUACGGCAAUUACAGUUGAGGUCCGUUUACCUCGUCGUUCGUUAUUGUUUCCCCUUCUUCGCGAGUCGAAUUUAUAUCAAUUGAUAGAUUAUAGGAGCAUAUUCGGUAUAAGAGUUCGCGUGUCGUCGAUGCGAAUGUGUUGAAAUUACGUGUACGCGAUAGACAUUUAUACGCCAUCGAAUUGUAGCUCCGUGCGUGAACUGCGAGAGGUUAUCACCGCCAUUAUCUCAAAUUACUCCGUAUCUUUCGCAGGAUUUCCUCUGGCAUAAGAUCGUGCUCCGUAUAUAAGAUGUAAAUCAUGAAUGAACAUUGACGGAAUUGCAGAAUCCCUCCUGGAGUAAAAUCAUUCUGGGCAGUGUGAAUCAUGAAUUAUCAACGUUGGCGAAAUUGGGUCGACCGUUUUUUUGCGGCCAACGUUCCAAAUAUGGAUAUGCAAAAGACGAGAGAAAACGCGCUCUCCCGAUCGUUAUGCCGAGAACCGGGAGAAGAUAAACUCACCGUCCUACGAUCUCUCAUUUACCCGGUAAAAAAAAUCCGCGAAAGAGCGGAUGCAACGCUAGAAGCAGUAUCGCGUUUUACGGGCGCGUAAUGCAGCCGAUGGCCCGUCCUCAGCGCACAUCCGAGUCGUCGGGAAGUUAUUACAACAUCGUAAUGUACAGAAAAGUACGUACGUUGGACACAGGUAUAACUUUAUAUUCCAAGAAAAUGCUACGGCGUCUCCUUUACGUUGGCUUGCUGCGCGGGUAAUUAAUUCAUAUAGAAGUUCGACCUUCUGUAGACCGGCUAAGGUG